This 367-nucleotide ribosomal RNA is filed under the name Diploderma polygonatum. RNAcentral describes it as "partial 12S rRNA". Lineage: Eukaryota; Metazoa; Chordata; Lepidosauria; Squamata; Agamidae. The record is from RNAcentral.
GCCUAACUGCAAACCAACCCGCCAAACAAGUACAAGCACAGCUCUAAACUUUAAGGACCUGGCGGUACUCUACAUCAACCUAGAGGGGCCUGUCUGAUAAUCGACAACCCGCGAUAGACCCAACCCAUUCUAGCCUACCAAGUCUAUAUACCGCCGUCCCAAGCACAUUUUACAAAAAAUGCAGCCGAAAAGCCCAGCACUAGCACGUCAGGUCAAGGUGUAGCACAUGAAUCGGACAAGAUUGGCCACAGUACCACACCAACAACUCUACCUACAAUGAAACACUCAGGAUAUUAACGGAUUUAGCAGUAAGGGGGUCAAUUGAACGCCUCCCUGAAGCCCCACCCAUCACAGCCCUUGAGUACGC